CGGGUGAGUAAUGCUUGGGAAUCUAGCUUAUGGAGGGGGAUAACUACGGGAAACUGUAGCUAAUACCGCGUAGAAUCGGGAGAUGAAAGUGUGGGACCUUCGGGCCACAUGCCAUAGGAUGAGCCCAAGUGGGAUUAGGUAGUUGGUGAGGUAAAGGCUCACCAAGCCGACGAUCUCUAGCUGGUCUGAGAGGAUGACCAGCCACACUGGGACUGAGACACGGCCCAG
This 228-nucleotide ribosomal RNA is filed under the name uncultured bacterium. Its description in RNAcentral is "partial 16S ribosomal RNA". It matches the Rfam family "Bacterial small subunit ribosomal RNA", at positions 103 to 334 of the family's 1533-position model. The record is from RNAcentral.